Molecule: ribosomal RNA, 505 nt
Filed under: uncultured bacterium
Lineage: Bacteria
Description: bacterial SSU rRNA
Rfam family: Bacterial small subunit ribosomal RNA
Source: RNAcentral
CAGGCCUAACACAUGCAAGUCGAGCGCGAAAACUCCUUCGGGAGCCAGUAGAGCGGCGCACGGGUGAGUAACACGUGGGUAAUCUGCCUUCAGGACUGGGAUAACCAAGGGAAACUUUGGCUAAUACCGGAUAAUGCUUCGCUUUGAGAUAGGCGAAGAAAAAGCAGGGGACUUCUUCGGAAGCCUUGCACCAGAAGAUGAGCCCGCGUCCCAUCAGCUAGUUGGCGAGGUAAUGGCUCACCAAGGCGAAGACGGGUAGCUGGUCUGAGAGGAUGGCCAGCCACACUGGAACUGAGACACGGUCCAGACUCCUACGGGAGGCAGCAGUGGGGAAUAUUGCGCAAUGGGGGAAACCCUGACGCAGCAACGCCGCGUGAGUGAUGAAGGUCUUCGGAUCGUAAAGCUCUGUCGGCAGGAACGAUGGCACGGGAGGCGAAUAGGCUUCCGUGUUGACGGUACCUGCAAAGGAAGCACCGGCUAACUCUGUGCCAGCAGCCGCGGUAAU